GACUGUGCCCUUCGGGGGAAAGAUUUGUCGCCUUUAGUGCCUCCCGCGUCUGAUUACCUAGUCGGUGUAGGCCGGCUCACCAAGGCUAGUAUGUGGGGUGGUCUGAGAGGAUGACCAACCACACUGGGACUGAGACACGGCCCAAACUCCUACGGGAGGCAGCAGUGGGGAAUCUUGCGCACCGGGCGAACCCCUGACGCAGCCAUGCCACGUGAAUGAAGAAGGUCUUAGGAUU
This 235-nucleotide ribosomal RNA is filed under the name Brevundimonas diminuta. RNAcentral describes it as "partial 16S ribosomal RNA". It matches the Rfam family "Bacterial small subunit ribosomal RNA", at positions 186 to 424 of the family's 1533-position model. The record is from RNAcentral. Lineage: Bacteria; Pseudomonadati; Pseudomonadota; Alphaproteobacteria; Caulobacterales; Caulobacteraceae.